AGUAUAAAUACAGAAGCAAUCUAUAUCCAUUUAAGAGGGCGAGAGCAAGAGAGAGAUAGAGAGAGAGAGGGAGAUUGAGUUGAAUUAGGGUUAGGGCUUUGGCGGAGCUCAGCUUCGGCUUGAGAGCAAUGGAAGAAAUAACAGAUGGAGUCAACAACAUCAACAUCAACAUCGGAGGCGCCGCCGGCGAUUCCAAUAAGAAGAAUCGCAUUCAGGUCUCCAACACCAAGAAACCCUUGUUCUUCUACGUCAAUCUCGCCAAGAGGUAUAUGCAGCAGCACAACGAGGUGGAGCUGUCGGCGCUUGGCAUGGCUAUUGCUACAGUUGUAAGUGUUGCAGAAAUUCUGAAAAAUAACGGAUUGGCUGUUGAGAAGAAAAUCAUGACGUCCACUGUUGAAAUGAAGGAUGAAGCAAGAGGGCGACCCGUCCAAAAAGCUAAAAUUGAGAUAGUACUCGGGAAAACAGAGAAGUUUGAUGAAUUAAUGGCAGCUGCUUUGGAGGAGAGAGAUCGUGGAGAAGGUGAAGAGCAGAGCUAAAGGGAAGGGGAUCUGAUGUAGCUCUUAGUUUUGCCGUCAUGGGGGUGUAAUACUAUAAAGAACCUAAUGUAGCUUGUAGCCUUUUAUGUGGUCCAGAGAUGACAAGCUAAUUAUUUUGGCUUUAGUAUCUGGUGUGGUGCGCGUACUCCUACAUUGCAGCAAUUCGGUUGCCAUUCUAGAACUCUGCUGCAGAUUUUGGCUAGAGCGGCUGGUGGCUGGUGGACGCUGGACGCAAUACAGAAAAGGAGUGCUGAAUUUGUUAUGUGAUAAGAAAAUCAGGUAAUAAAGGAAGCUCAUUUUAACUAGCUGGAUGGUCUAGUUUUGUGAUAUAUAAUAAUCACGAGUUGCUUGAUGAAAUUGUGCCUAAAAGGAAGCAUUUGAAUCAUGUUUUCCUUUUUCAAUUUUCUGAGCGUGUGUUUGCCUGGUUAAAAGAGAGCCGAAUUGUUUUCACAAUUUGGUCUCUCGUUGUAGUAGCACCUACUUAUAAAUUGAGAAACUAGUGUUUGGUCUUUGGUCCAAAAAUUAACUUGUUUUUUGUAUUAAGCAUGGUUUGGCUUGGAGCUCUGAAUCAGCUGAACCGGGCUAAUUGAACCUGAUCAAGGUUUUUUUUUUUUCUGAAAAAAAAUGUCUUUUAUUUUUAGAUGUUAGAAAAUAUAAUAAUAACUUGAGAUAUUUGAAAGAAGGUAGAUGUUUAUUAUUUGAAUGUCAUAUAUCAUUUUGUUAAUGUAUAGAGUUUUUGAUCUGUAUUUGAU
Molecule: RNA transcript, 1288 nt
Organism: Diospyros lotus (date-plum)
Lineage: Eukaryota; Viridiplantae; Streptophyta; Magnoliopsida; Ericales; Ebenaceae
Exons: 6
Source: RefSeq, a predicted model, not a curated record